RNAcentral lists this ribosomal RNA (451 nucleotides) under uncultured bacterium. Its description in RNAcentral is "partial 16S ribosomal RNA". It matches the Rfam family "Bacterial small subunit ribosomal RNA", at positions 354 to 796 of the family's 1533-position model. The record is from RNAcentral.
GUGGGGAAUAUUGGACAAUGGGGGGAACCCUGAUCCAGCCAUGCCGCGUGUGUGAAGAAGGCCUUUUGGUUGUAAAGCACUUUAAGCGAGGAGGAGGCUACCGAGAUUAAUACUCUUGGAUAGUGGACGUUACUCGCAGAAUAAGCACCGGCUAACUCUGUGCCAGCAGCCGCGGUAAUACAGAGGGUGCGAGCGUUAAUCGGAUUUACUGGGCGUAAAGCGUGCGUAGGCGGCUUUUUAAGUCGGAUGUGAAAUCCCUGAGCUUAACUUAGGAAUUGCAUUCGAUACUGGAAAGCUAGAGUAUGGGAGAGGAUGGUAGAAUUCCAGGUGUAGCGGUGAAAUGCGUAGAGAUCUGGAGGAAUACCGAUGGCGAAGGCAGCCAUCUGGCCUAAUACUGACGCUGAGGUACGAAAGCAUGGGGAGCAAACAGGAUUAGAUACCCCGGUAGUCC